GGGGGUGUAGCUCAGUGGUAGAGUGCAUGCCUAGCAUGCACAAGGUCCUGGGUUCAAUCCCUAGUACCGCCA
This 72-nucleotide transfer RNA is filed under the name Camelus bactrianus (Bactrian camel). It matches the Rfam family "tRNA". Rfam says of the family: Transfer RNA (tRNA) molecules are approximately 80 nucleotides in length. Their secondary structure includes four short double-helical elements and three loops (D, anti-codon, and T loops). The record is from Rfam by way of RNAcentral. RNAcentral also lists the same sequence under 1 other name. Lineage: Eukaryota; Metazoa; Chordata; Mammalia; Artiodactyla; Camelidae.